Molecule: non-coding RNA, 2137 nt
Organism: Python bivittatus (Burmese python)
Lineage: Eukaryota; Metazoa; Chordata; Lepidosauria; Squamata; Pythonidae
Source: RefSeq, a predicted model, not a curated record
CUCCGCAAGCAGGUUCCCUGUUAUUCCUACGGACAGAAGCUAUCCAAAUUGGCCAUCCUCAGGAUAGCAUGUAACUAUAUCCUCUCCUUGGCUAGACUGGCAGACCUGGACUACAGCGCUGACCACAGUAACAUGAGCUUCUCGGAAUGUGUGGAGCAAUGCACUAGGACCUUGCAAGCUGAAGGAAGGUCUAAAAAAAGGAAGGAAUGAUAACCAAAGGGUGGAUUGAGCAGCAAAAUCAUCCUGAUGUUCCAUCUUACCUUCUCAAAGCGCGCAUGUUCCCAUUGAAAAGAGCAGAAGGCAUCUGUCAUUAAAUUGAAGACUGGCUAUGGAAACACUCUUGGUGUGACAGUCUUUUGGAGAAGAUGAAGAUAUUUUCUUCUACUGUUUUCUUCUUAAGCCAAUCACAUGUUAGUAUGUGCAAUGUAUGGAGAGGCUUCUCCCUUUGCUACCUAGGAAAUACCAUCCCUGUAUAAUAGAGCAUUGUGAUGAUAUCACUAGUGCCAAAGAGCUGGUUGAGUUUCUGUAUUGUCAUCUCAAACCCAGAGGUUAUGAUCCAUACGUUCUGUAAGUAAAUCAGGAGAUGUGGAAAUCAUUGGUUGCUUCUGGCAAGAUGCACAUUGCACAUUGAAAUGCACUUGGCUCUGUAGAGGAAAGGGGAGGCAAAACCUGUUUAAAGUAAUGGCUGUGGAGCUAAGUCAGAAUUGGCAAACCUGUCUGUAAAUAAAUACAGUUCUCCAUAUCUGAAAGCUGAAGCACGAAAACCAUCAGGACGCAACCAGUGUUACUAUUCCACACAUUUUUUUUUCUUCACCUUUAUCAAUUCCGCUCAUUUAACAAGAGCCAGCUUUUCAGGGUGAAGAAUAGUGACAAAAAAGCUAGAACUGUUACAAGGGACGAUUUAUUUCCAUUUUUUUAAACACGCCAUUUAACCCAAUUAAUUAAAAUGUAUAUUAUACAAGGAAAGGAAGGUUAAAUAGCCAGAGUGUCUGUUAGCAGAAUAUUCCAGAAAGGUUUAUAAUGUUGCAUUUUGAAUUUUAGAAAUGUUAAAGCCCGUGUAAUGCAAAGGCAUUUGAAUACUAUGUUGUAUAUUUCACUUCAAAUUGAAGUAAAAAAAAAAAUGUAUGGAGAAACUCACUUGGAGUAAGCAAAUUUUAUAAAUAAUGCAUGUCAUAUGUAACACAUCUGCUUGUAAUGAAGAAUAUAAUUCAGUGUUACAGUAAAAUAAUACAGCCUUUUGAAGAAAAGAUUACCAUAUUUCAGUCAAAUGGCAAUGUAUAAUGGCUAUACAUUGCAGCUAAAUUUAACCUUCUGUUAUUUCAGUAUAAAUUAUUUGUGCUUCAUUUUCACUAAUGAAAUUGAUCUGAAUAGAGUUCAUCGUGCCAAUCUGUUGAGAGAUCUCACAAGUGUAUAACUCUUCUCAUUUGGAACAGCAAGAUCUUCCAAUCUUUAAGCUUAGUCCUAAAUAUUGCUGCUCUUCCUGCACUGAAAGGUGUCUACACAACUUCAGUCUUCCAGCUAAGGUGGUAAUUAUGUUCAUAAAACCUUAAACUGCAGUCCUAAAGUCCCAGCAUCCCAAGAUCUUCUUUCUCAGCCCCCAGGUAAACACCCAGAGCAAUUCAACAUGGAAGGAGGGUGGGGAGGCACUGGAUCUGAAAGAUUUCUUAAAGGCUGGAAAGGCGAUGAAUUCUGUUCUCCCCUGGCUGUUUCCCAUGGCACGUCACAGCCUUCACCAUUCGAGCAGUUCUGUCUCUGUAUGUCUUCUAAACAGCCUCAGUAUGAAGGAGGGCUGGUUGAAGGGCAGAAUUGGGAUAAAUCUAGUCUGUAAGUUCAUGUAAUGUCCUGGAAAGACAACACAGUAAUCAAAACAAGCGGUGACAAUCCUUUUGACCAAGAACCUCAACAUAAUCAGUCAUUAGAAAAUGAAGUGGGGAGUAAGGAAUCUUGUUGGUAUUCUCUGGAUAGCAGCACCCUCUGGAGAUCACCGUUUUGGUCCAUGUAAGUAAGAAGAAUGUUGUAAAUAGAAAAAUGUUCUUCAUGACAUCUCAAAUAUAAAAUGGAAGAACGAGGAAAGCAAAUUUGAGUGUUAAGAAUUACAGAUGCUUUGCCACUGUGAACGAAAUAAACGCCUUAAACG